ACGGAGGGUGCGAGCGUUGUCCGGAAUCACUGGGCGUAAAGGGCGCGUAGGCGGCGCGGGAAGUCAUCGGUGAAAGUUCAGGGCUCAACUCUGAAUCGGCCGGUGAUACUCUCGUGCUCGAGCACUGUAGAGGCAGGUGGAAUUCCGGGUGUAGCGGUGGAAUGCGUAGAGAUCCGGAAGAACACCGGUGGCGAAGGCGGCCUGCUGGGCAGUAGCUGACGCUGAUGCGCGACAGCGUGGGGAGCAAACAGGA
Molecule: ribosomal RNA, 253 nt
Filed under: uncultured prokaryote
Description: partial 16S ribosomal RNA
Rfam family: Bacterial small subunit ribosomal RNA
Source: RNAcentral